RNAcentral lists this transfer RNA (73 nucleotides) under Variovorax sp. WDL1. RNAcentral's name for it is "tRNA-Gly". It matches the Rfam family "tRNA". Rfam says of the family: Transfer RNA (tRNA) molecules are approximately 80 nucleotides in length. Lineage: Bacteria; Pseudomonadati; Pseudomonadota; Betaproteobacteria; Burkholderiales; Comamonadaceae. The record is from RNAcentral. RNAcentral also lists the same sequence under 1 other name.
GCGGAUGUAGCUCAGUUGGUAGAGCGCGACCUUGCCAUGGUCGAGGCCAGGGGUUCGAACCCCCUCAUCCGCU